GCCGGUCCAGUUGCUUAGAAAAGUGAUGGAUCUGUGAGCGCCAACAUGGCCUUUUCAUGCGGGUCAUUAGGCGGCGAGAUUGGCACAUAAAGGAUAGAUCCUUAUCAGAGAGGGAGGAGGGUUGGCCGAAAAAGAUGGAGGAAGGAUGCCAGAGAUGAUGACGGAGAGUGGGGUGGAGAGAGGGUGGCUGGAGUGGAAGAGUCGGAAGGAGAAU
This 214-nucleotide long non-coding RNA is filed under the name Elaeis guineensis (African oil palm). RNAcentral's name for it is "long non-coding RNA (EGUI_LNC006270)". Lineage: Eukaryota; Viridiplantae; Streptophyta; Magnoliopsida; Arecales; Arecaceae. The record is from RNAcentral.